UCCUGGUUAACCCAGGCAGUCUCGUUAGAGUUCCCACCUAAAAUGCUGGCAACUAACGAUAAGGGUUGCGCUCGUUGCGGGACUUAACCCAACACCUCACGGCACGAGCUGACGACAGCCAUGCAGCACCUGUGCAGCGGCCCCGAAGGGAAUAUCCAUUUCUGAAUACGUCCACUGCAUGUCAAGACUGGGUAAGGUUCUUCGCGUUGCAUCGAAUUAAACCACAUGCUCCACUGCUUGUGCGGGUCCCCGUCAAUUCUUUUGAGUUUCACCCUUGCGAGCGUACUCCCCAGGCGGUAUACUUAUCGCGUUAGCUUCGGCACAACUAGGGUUGAGUCCAGUUACACCAAGUAUACAUCGUUUAAGGCAAGGACUAC
RNAcentral lists this unclassified non-coding RNA (377 nucleotides) under uncultured Parachlamydiaceae bacterium. RNAcentral describes it as "contains 16S-23S intergenic spacer region". The record is from RNAcentral. Lineage: Bacteria; Pseudomonadati; Chlamydiota; Chlamydiia; Parachlamydiales; Parachlamydiaceae.